This 119-nucleotide ribosomal RNA is filed under the name Leptotrombidium deliense. Lineage: Eukaryota; Metazoa; Arthropoda; Arachnida; Trombidiformes; Trombiculidae. The record is from RNAcentral.
GUCUAUGGACAUACCACGUUGAAAAUACCCCCUCUCGUCCGAUCCCUGAAGUUAACCAACGUCGGGCAGAAUCAGUACCUGGGAGGUAGACCACUUGGGAACACUCGGUGUCGUAAACU